RNAcentral lists this long non-coding RNA (3142 nucleotides) under Marmota monax (woodchuck). Lineage: Eukaryota; Metazoa; Chordata; Mammalia; Rodentia; Sciuridae. The record is from RNAcentral.
UGGACGUGGGCCCAUGGCCUGACACAAGCCAGGCCCAGGAGCUGCGCGUCCUCUUUAGCCAAGAGCGGCCUCCUGCUGAGCCUGGGCCAGGCUCCCUGAAUCACAGAGGGGAGCCGGAGGAACUGGGGGAAAGGCCUGGUAGGCGAUGGUGCCCAGAGCCCUGCCAACUGAGGCUUGGGGCACGCAUGACCAACAGCACACAGCAGCGCUGGGGGCCUGAAACCCCAGGCCCUGCUGGCCCGAGGGGGCUGAUCAGCUAUGCUCUGUCUUUUCCAUUUCAGUCACUACCAGGAGAGGAGGGUAAGUGUCCCUUGUCCCAUUUCCCAGCUGGAAGCCCUGAGGCCGGGUAGGAGCUUAGAGGGAUAGAAGACAGGCUGGGGGAGGGGGGCGGCGGUGAACCCUGCAGGGUGUCGGGCUUCUACUUCUUAUGCUUUCCCAGGACCCAGGUGUCCAUCAACUGUACACCCGUCCUGCCAGCUUGAGGUGGCAACCCUUCACCCACACUCCCCCGCCAGCCUCCAGUCCCUUUAUUAUGCAGAGGAGAUGCCCCAGGAGCCCGGCACACCACAGCAGAGCACAGCAGGACAGGACAGGCUGGUGCCUCUGGCAGAGGUGGGCUAGGGGCCAAGUGGGUUGAAGAAUGGGCAGGUGGGGGCGGCUACAGCUUUUCCUGCCCCUGCCCAUGAGCCUAGCCUGCUCACCUGGCAUGAGGCCAGGUAAGGCCUAGGGGUAGAGGAAGAGGGAGGUGGACACUGCAGGAUGCCCCCUCAUGCUCAAAGCCCCAGGCACCCCCAUAGGAGCUAGAAGUUCAGGGUACCUGGACUGGAUAGAGGCUUGUACUCCCAAGGGGUCCCCUAGGUAGGAACUGGGGUACCCCCAUUAUCCCCAGUGCUCUCCCUACCUUAAUUCUAAUUUGGCUUGAAGCAGUUCUUUCCUGGUGGGAAAAUUCGGAUGGAAAAAUUCCAACAUCUACCUACCUGAAGGAACUGGGGGAAAGGCCCGAUAGGCAGUAGCACCCAGAAUCUUGCCAACUGAGGCUCAGGGCACGCUUCCCCAAAUUCCCACAGGAGAAGAGCAGAAGCUUCGGGCAGGGAGACAAGAAUCCCCUCCUGCACUCUAACCCUGUCCACCCCACCCCCGGGUCUGCUCCUUAGAAUGUACCCACUUCUGUUUGGGGCAGGGGCUUUCGAAGACAGAAUUGAACUGAGUCAGGGCCUCCACUUCGCCACCAAUAUUUAUGGUGUCACUUAGAAGACAGUCUCCGAGCUGGAACUGGGAUGUUGCACAGAGGAAGGCUCCUGGCUGGGAGGGAGGGUAUCUGCAGGGGAAGGGAAUUCAGAUGAGGAACAAGAUGGGAGCUGCCCAGGGGGACUGGGGGAGCCUGGGAGGGAAGGCUGGCCCAGUGUUCAGGGGAGGGGGCAGCUUGAGAGGGCUUCUGGAGGAAGACUCCCGGGCUGAGAGGGCUCUGCCAGAGCAAGGAUCAGAUACAAUUCCAGGGUGACUGCAGGAGAAAGGGACUCCAAGGCCUGUCAGUGCUCCAAGAAGCAGGAAGUGGGGGCUAGGAAUGGGGGGGGACAGAAAAGCAAGAGCUAUAGGGGCAAUGGGAGUUAGGGCAGGGAUGAGUCAGAUGUCCCCACAGGGGCCAGUGAGGAAACAGCUGAACAGUCACCAGGCCUGAGGGAGAAAUGAGGACAGCAGCUCUCACCGUGCAUAUAGGGAAGGAGCGUGACAGUCCUCACUCCACCCAUCUUUCUUAGAGAAUCAGGUAAGUCAAAGUCCCUCAACUGUGGUUGUACUUCUCCCAUGGGGUAGUUUGGAAACCUGAGGGAAACUUUGGUUGUGAGAAUGGGGAUAUUCUUAGUCCAUUUUCUGUGGCUAUGACAAAAUACCUGAGACUGGUUAAUUGAUAAAGAAUGGAGGUUUGUUUAGCUCAUGAUUCUGGAGUCUGGGAAGUCCAAUAUCAGGGUUCUUGCAUCUGGUGAGGGCCUCCUUGCUACAUUCUAACAUGGCAGAAGGCAUCAAAAUAGCAAGGCAGAGCAUGGAGCCAGAGAGAACUUAUUCUUGUAAUAAAGUCACUCACCUCCCAAAGGGCCACCUCUUAAAAACCACUAACAUAUGACUUUGGGGAUUAAGUUUCCAACACAUAAAUUUUGGGGAAACAUUUUCAAAUCAUAGCAGACUUCUAUAGACAUUGGGUGGUGGGGACCUGAGAUACAGGGGUGUCCUGUAUCCCACAUGGCAUCCAAAUAUUCUACUGACAUUUGUCUAGGUCAGUGGUUCCCAAUAAUGAGCAGUUCCGCCUCUCAAAGGACAUUUAACAAUGUCUAGAGACACUUGCUUGCUAUCUACUGGGGCGUGCUAUUGACAGUUAGUGGAUAGAGGCCACAGAUGCUGCCAGGCAUCCAACAUUGCACCUUUACUCAGCCCAACAUGUCCAUAGUGCUGAGGAUUCUGGGUAGGUGAAAACCCUACUGGUAAUAACCAGAGCCAGGAACUAUUAGUUACCUUUCCAUCAAUGUGACUAAACACCUGAGAUAAUCAACUUAAAAAGAGGAAAGGUUGAUUUGACUCACAAUUUCAGAGGUUUCGUCUCUUGGUCUUGUUGCUUUGGGCCAGUGGGGCACAGUACGUCAUGUCAGGAGCACAUGCUAAGGGAGGUCUGUUCACAUAAUGGCAGUCAGGAAGCGGGAGAGACAGACAGACAGACAGGAGGGGCUAGGGUUCCAAUGUCUCCUUCAAGGACACAUCCCAAUUACCUAACUUCCUUCCACUAGGCCCCACCUCCUAAAGGUCCUACCUCUCCCAUUAGUGCUAGGGCUGGAGACAAAGCCUUUCACGCUUAGCCUUGGGGGACACUUAUCCAAACUAUAAUAAGAACCUACUUCUGUCUUACAGUUUCCAAAUACAGAAUUUCCCAGGGAGUCAACAAACAAUCAAGCGGAGGUGGAGCCCGAUUUGUUCAGAAAUUGACCAAGAUAUGUUUGCAGUCUUGGAAAAACACAUCCCUAAAAUGACUCUGUGGCUCAGGCAGAUACCUGAGCCUAGAAGGAUGCUCCCACCCCUACCUGUGACUGUUGCAGCUGCAGCCUUGACCCCAUGACCAGCCUCUGAAUCCUCUGUAGAUUGUACCCAAGCAUUUCUC